AGAGUGGGUGGAGGUGUGCGGAAGAGUUUCCCAUCCUAAUACGUCAAAGUGAUCUAGAUGUAGAGGUUUCGACUACCCCUACAGUACCAUGUCUGCCAUGUGUGCCACUGUGCUUUCUGCUAUGAUGAUAAAAGAAGUUUAUAAACUACACCUCUGAAGCUGUAAGCCAGCCCUGCCAUGGUCAUGGAGUCUCGUCACAGCACUGACUAAGACAAUGCCUUUGGGUCAUUCUCCUGAUUGAUGACUGACAUGGGAUGGCCCACUGUGGACAUGGGAUGCUCACUGCACCCCACUAUCACUCAGGAUGGGAAGAUGAAGGCUGAACUGAAAACAUUUACUGAUGAGCCAAGGAUGCUGAGGGACCUGGGACCAGAAUCAAUGCAGCUGUCACCACCCUGAGGCUUGAAGGACUGGCAGGAUUGUCAGAGUCUGAUAAGAAAUGAGCUAUGUUAGGGGGAACCUCCCACAGGAAGGUGGCUUAUGGGAAUGGAGCAGCAACAUCUGUAGACUGGGGGAGGGUGGAAGGAGCUGGUGGAAUGGGUGCCUUCUUGGCUUUCCUGUCUUUUGAUUUCCUGAUGGCACCUCUGGUUGACCAGCAUGGGCGGUCCAUUUCGGAGACUCUAGGAGUUCUGGUCCAGGGAGGAGCUGAGAAUGGAUGAGGGGUUGAGACCUAGUUAAGGCACACACAGCAUCUAUCUCCUCAUCAGCUUCUUCACUUUAGCUGUGGGAUUUCUCAGGCGAUUGCCCUUCAAUGAAUAGUUCUUUGUCGGCUUUUAGGGGUGACUGUAUGUCAAUUCUAUUUUUAUUUCUAUAUGUAAUUAUUACAUAUAAUAUUAUACAUAUUAUUUUGU
Mus musculus (house mouse) is the source of this 851-nucleotide long non-coding RNA. RefSeq annotates it as predicted gene, 40917. The transcript has 3 exons. Lineage: Eukaryota; Metazoa; Chordata; Mammalia; Rodentia; Muridae. The record is from RefSeq and is a predicted model, not a curated record.